Molecule: non-coding RNA, 208 nt
Organism: Oryza glaberrima (African rice)
Lineage: Eukaryota; Viridiplantae; Streptophyta; Magnoliopsida; Poales; Poaceae
Source: Rfam
AAUAAGUGCAGUUUUGCACUAUUCAUGUCUCACGUUUGACCAUUCGUUUUAUUUAAAAUUUUUCUACAAUUAAUAUUUUUAUUGUUAUUAGACGAUAAAACAUGAAUAAUACUUUAUGUGUGACUAACUUAUUUUAAUUUUCUCAUAAAAUUUUUAAAUAAGACAGACGGUCAAACGUUGAACAUAGAUUCCUACAGCUGCACUUAUU